RNAcentral lists this ribosomal RNA (497 nucleotides) under uncultured bacterium. Its description in RNAcentral is "partial 16S ribosomal RNA". It matches the Rfam family "Bacterial small subunit ribosomal RNA", at positions 28 to 507 of the family's 1533-position model. The record is from RNAcentral.
GAUGAACGCUGGCGGCGUGCCUAAUACAUGCAAGUCGAGCGAACAGAUGAGGAGCUUGCUCCUCUGACGUUAGCGGCGGACGGGUGAGUAACACGUGGAUAACCUACCUAUAAGACUGGGAUAACUUCGGGAAACCGGAGCUAAUACCGGAUAAUAUAUUGAACCGCAUGGUUCAAUAGUGAAAGACGGUUUUGCUGUCACUUAUAGAUGGAUCCGCGCCGCAUUAGCUAGUUGUUAAGGUAACGGCUUACCAAGGCAACGAUGCGUAGCCGACCGGAGAGGGUGAUCGGCCACACUGGAACUGAGACACGGUCCAGACUCCUACGGGAGGCAGCAGUAGGGAAUCUUCCGCAAUGGGCGAAAGCCUGACGGAGCAACGCCGCGUGAGUGAUGAAGGUCUUCGGAUCGUAAAACUCUGUUAUUAGGGAAGAACAAAUGUGUAAGUAACUAUGCACGUCUUGACGGUACCUAAUCAGAAAGCCACGGCUAACUACGUG